This 468-nucleotide ribosomal RNA is filed under the name uncultured bacterium. RNAcentral describes it as "partial 16S ribosomal RNA". It matches the Rfam family "Bacterial small subunit ribosomal RNA", at positions 28 to 507 of the family's 1533-position model. The record is from RNAcentral.
GACGAACGCUGGCGGCGUGCUUAACACAUGCAAGUCGAACGGAAAGGCCCUGCUUUUGUGGGGUGCACGAGUGGCGAACGGGUGAGUAACACGUGAGUAACCUGCCCCUGACUUUGGGAUAACUUCAGGAAACUGGGGAUAAUACAGGAUAUGAGAUACUGCUGCAUGGUGGGGUUUGGAAAGUUUCGGCGGUUGGGGAUGGACUCGCGGCUUAUCAGCUUGUUGGUGGGGUAGUGGCUUACCAAGGCUUUGACGGGUAGCCGGCCUGAGAGGGUGACCGGCCACAUUGGGACUGAGAUACGGCCCAGACUCCUACGGGAGGCAGCAGUGGGGAAUAUUGCACAAUGGGCGGAAGCCUGAUGCAGCAACGCCGCGUGCGGGAUGACGGCCUUCGGGUUGUAAACCGCUUUCGCCUGUGACGAAGCGUGAGUGACGGUAAUGGGUAAAGAAGCACCGGCUAACUACGUG